RNAcentral lists this ribosomal RNA (328 nucleotides) under uncultured Neocallimastigales. RNAcentral describes it as "partial large subunit ribosomal RNA". Lineage: Eukaryota; Fungi; Neocallimastigomycota; Neocallimastigomycetes; Neocallimastigales. The record is from RNAcentral.
GUUGUUUAGUUGAAAAUCAAUUAAAUAAUUUUUGAUUUUGAGUAGUAUUGACUUCAUCAGCUUGCUGCUUUCUUUUCGGAAAUUAUUUAAUGCACUUUUCAGUUAACAAGUCAACAUCAAUUUCUUUUGUUGUAAAAGGGUAAGAGGAAGGUGGCUUACAUUUCGGUGUAAGUGUUUAUAGCCUUUUACCUCUGCAAUCGGAGAGAUUGAGGUCAGCAGCGUAGACUCUUCGGGGUUAGAUACGCUUGUGCUAAGCUAUAGCCUUGUAUAGACAACUUGUUGACUAUGCUCAGUCAUGUAGCUUACUCGCUUGCAGUAUUUUACCUAC